RNAcentral lists this ribosomal RNA (397 nucleotides) under uncultured bacterium. Its description in RNAcentral is "bacterial SSU rRNA". It matches the Rfam family "Bacterial small subunit ribosomal RNA", at positions 358 to 771 of the family's 1533-position model. The record is from RNAcentral.
GGAAUAUUGCGCAAUGGGCGAAAGCCUGACGCAGCGACGCCGCGUGGGUGACGAAGGCCUUCGGGUCGUAAAGCCCUUUUCUGCGUGACGAGAGAGGACGGUAGCGCAGGAACAAGUCUCGGCUAACUACGUGCCAGCAGCCGCGGUAAAACGUAGGAGGCGAGCGUUAUCCGGAGUUACUGGGCGUAAAGAGCGUGUAGGCGGGUAGGGAAGUGGGGCGUGAAAGCUCCCGGCUAAACGGGGAGAGUGCGCUGAAGACUGCGUAUCUAGAGGCGAGUAGAGGGACGUGGAAUUCCGGGUGUAGUGGUGAAAUGCGUAGAGAUCCGGAGGAACACCAGUGGCGAAGGCGACGUCCUGGGCUUGACCUGACGCUGAGACGCGACAGCACGGGGAGCGA